CUUGUACUCCCUCCGUCCGGAAAUACUUGUCAUUGAAAUGGAUGUAUCUAGAUGUAUUUUAGUUCUAGACACAUCCAUUUUGAUGACAAGUAAUUCCGGACGGAGGGAGUACUUG
Molecule: non-coding RNA, 115 nt
Organism: Triticum aestivum (bread wheat)
Lineage: Eukaryota; Viridiplantae; Streptophyta; Magnoliopsida; Poales; Poaceae
Source: Rfam